Molecule: ribosomal RNA, 325 nt
Filed under: uncultured eukaryote
Lineage: Eukaryota
Description: partial 18S ribosomal RNA
Rfam family: Eukaryotic small subunit ribosomal RNA
Source: RNAcentral
CCCUUAGAUGUUCUGGGCCGCACGCGCGCUACACUGAUGCAUUCAACGAGCCUAUCCUUGACCGACAGGUCCGGGUAAUCUUUGAAUCUGCAUCGUGACGGGGAUAGAUUAUUGCAAUUAUUAAUCUUCAACGAGGAAUGCCUAGUAGGCGCAAGUCAUCAGCUUGCUUCGAUUACGUCCCUGCCCUUUGUACACACCGCCCGUCGCUCCUACCGAUUGGGUGUGCUGGUGAAAUGUUCGGAUCGGCCGUUUGUCGCGGUUUCCGCGGCUCGUGGCUGAGAAGUUCAUUAAACCCUCCCACCUAGAGGAAGGAGAAGUCGUAACA